AUUGAACGCUGGCGGCAGGCCUAACACAUGCAAGUCGAGCGGAUGAAGGGAGCUUGCUCCUGGAUUCAGCGGCGGACGGGUGAGUAAUGCCUAGGAAUCUGCCUGGUAGUGGGGGAUAACGUCCGGAAACGGGCGCUAAUACCGCAUACGUCCUGAGGGGGAAAGUGGGGGAUCUUCGGACCUCACGCUAUCAGAUGAGCCAAGGUCGGAUUAGCUAGUUGGUGGGGUAAAGGCCUACCAAGGCGACGAUCCGUAACUGGUCUGAGAGGAUGAUCAGUCACACUGGAACUGAGACACGGUCCAGACUCCUACGGGAGGCAGCAGUGGGGAAUAUUGGACAAUGGGCGAAAGCCUGAUCCAGCCAUGCCGCGUGUGUGAAGAAGGUCUUCGGAUUGUAAAGCACUUUAAGUUGGGAGGAAGGGCAGUAAGUUAAUACCUUGCUGUUUUGACGUUACCAACAGAAUAAGCACCGGCUAACUUCGUG
This 484-nucleotide ribosomal RNA is filed under the name uncultured bacterium. RNAcentral's name for it is "partial 16S ribosomal RNA". It matches the Rfam family "Bacterial small subunit ribosomal RNA", at positions 30 to 507 of the family's 1533-position model. The record is from RNAcentral.